Molecule: ribosomal RNA, 497 nt
Filed under: uncultured bacterium
Lineage: Bacteria
Description: partial 16S ribosomal RNA
Rfam family: Bacterial small subunit ribosomal RNA
Source: RNAcentral
GAUGAACGCUGGCGGCGUGCCUAAUACAUGCAAGUCGAGCGAACAGACGAGGAGCUUGCUCCUCUGACGUUAGCGGCGGACGGGUGAGUAACACGUGGAUAACCUACCUAUAAGACUGGGAUAACUUCGGGAAACCGGAGCUAAUACCGGAUAAUAUAUUGAACCGCAUGGUUCAAUAGUGAAAGACGGUUUUGCUGUCACUUAUAGAUGGAUCCGCGCCGCAUUAGCUAGUUGGUAAGGUAACGGCUUACCAAGGCAACGAUGCGUAGCCGACCUGAGAGGGUGAUCGGCCACACUGGAACUGAGACACGGUCCAGACUCCUACGGGAGGCAGCAGUAGGGAAUCUUCCGCAAUGGGCGAAAGCCUGACGGAGCAACGCCGCGUGAGUGAUGAAGGUCCUCAGAUCGUAAAACUCUGUUAUUAGGGAAGAACAAAUGUGUAAGUAACUAUGCACGUCUUGACGGUACCUAAUCAGAAAGCCACGGCUAACUACGUG